UACGUAGGUGGCGAGCGUUGUCCGGAUUUACUGGGCGUAAAGAGCGCGCAGGCGGUCGUUCAAGUCGGUUGUGAAAGCCCCCGGCUCAACUGGGGAGGGUCAUUCGAUACUGAUCGACUCGAAGGCAGGAGAGGGAAGCGGAAUUCCCGGUGUAGUGGUGAAAUGCGUAGAUAUCGGGAGGAACACCAGUGGCGAAGGCGGCUUCCUGGCCUGUUCUUGACGCUGAGGCGCGAAAGCUAGGGGAGCAAACGGG
RNAcentral lists this ribosomal RNA (253 nucleotides) under uncultured bacterium. RNAcentral describes it as "partial 16S ribosomal RNA". It matches the Rfam family "Bacterial small subunit ribosomal RNA", at positions 524 to 776 of the family's 1533-position model. The record is from RNAcentral.